ACGGGGUGCAGCACGCGCGAAAACUUUACAAUGCGGUAAACCGUGAUAAGGGAACUCCGAGUGCCCGUAAAAUCGGGCUGUCCACCAGUUUAAAUAACUGGUGAAGAAAGGGCCGGGCAAGACCGGUGCCAGCCGCCGCGGUAAUACCGGCGGCUCGAGUGGUGGCCACUAUUACUGGGCUUAAAGCGUUCGUAGCUGGUCUGUUAAGUCUCUGGGGAAAUCUACUGGCUUAACCAAUAGGCGUCUCAGGGAUACUGGCAGACUAGGGACCGGGAGAGGUGAGAGGUACUCCAGGGGUAGGAGUGAAAUCCUGUAAUCCUUGGGGACCACCUGUGGCGAAGGCGUCUCACCAGAACGGCUCCGACAGUGAGGGACGAAAGCUGGGGGAGCAAACUGGAUUAGAUACCCGGGUAGUCCCAGCUGUAAACGAUGCACGUUAGGUGUAUCGGUGACCACGAGUCACCGAGGUGCCGAAGAGAAAUCGUGAAACGUGCCGCCUGGGAAGUACGGUCGCAAGGCUGAAACUUAAAGGAAUUGGCGGGGGAGCAC
This 549-nucleotide ribosomal RNA is filed under the name uncultured archaeon. RNAcentral's name for it is "bacterial SSU rRNA". It matches the Rfam family "Archaeal small subunit ribosomal RNA", at positions 325 to 879 of the family's 1478-position model. The record is from RNAcentral.